UACGUAGGGUGCAAGCGUUAAUCGGAAUUACUGGGCGUAAAGUGUGCGCAGGCGGUUUUGUAAGACAGAGGUGAAAUCCCCGGGCUCAACCUGGGAACUGCCUUUGUGACUGCAAGGCUGGAGUACGGCAGAGGGGGAUGGAAUUCCGCGUGUAGCAGUGAAAUGCGUAGAUAUGCGGAGGAACACCGAUGGCGAAGGCAAUCCCCUGGGCCUGUACUGACGCUCAUGCACGAAAGCGUGGGGAGCAAACAGGAUUAGAUACCCUGGUAGUCCACGCCCUAAACGAUGUCAACUGGUUGUUGGGAAUUCACUUUCUCAGUAACGAAGCUAACGCGUGAAGUUGACCGCCUGGGGAGUACGGCCGCAAGGUUGAA
RNAcentral lists this ribosomal RNA (374 nucleotides) under uncultured bacterium. Its description in RNAcentral is "bacterial SSU rRNA". It matches the Rfam family "Bacterial small subunit ribosomal RNA", at positions 524 to 898 of the family's 1533-position model. The record is from RNAcentral.